Molecule: non-coding RNA, 31 nt
Filed under: Mus musculus (house mouse)
Lineage: Eukaryota; Metazoa; Chordata; Mammalia; Rodentia; Muridae
Source: RNAcentral
UGACAUUUGCUCAGAUGCUACAAAGUGAGAC